RNAcentral lists this ribosomal RNA (1358 nucleotides) under Salmonella enterica subsp. enterica serovar Newport. RNAcentral's name for it is "partial 23S ribosomal RNA". It matches the Rfam family "Bacterial large subunit ribosomal RNA", at positions 1467 to 2803 of the family's 2925-position model. The record is from RNAcentral. Lineage: Bacteria; Pseudomonadati; Pseudomonadota; Gammaproteobacteria; Enterobacterales; Enterobacteriaceae.
GGGGGACGGAGAAGGCUAUGUUGGCCGGGCGACGGUUGUCCCGGUUUAAGCGUGUAGGUGUGUGUUCCAGGUAAAUCCGGUUCACUUUAACACUGAGGCGUGAUGACGAGGCACUACGGUGCUGAAGCAACAAAUGCCCUGCUUCCAGGAAAAGCCUCUAAGCAUCAGGUAACAUCAAAUCGUACCCCAAACCGACACAGGUGGUCAGGUAGAGAAUACCAAGGCGCUUGAGAGAACUCGGGUGAAGGAACUAGGCAAAAUGGUGCCGUAACUUCGGGAGAAGGCACGCUGACACGUAGGUGAAGUGAUUUACUCAUGGAGCUGAAGUCAGUCGAAGAUACCAGCUGGCUGCAACUGUUUAUUAAAAACACAGCACUGUGCAAACACGAAAGUGGACGUAUACGGUGUGACGCCUGCCCGGUGCCGGAAGGUUAAUUGAUGGGGUCAGCGCAAGCGAAGCUCCUGAUCGAAGCCCCGGUAAACGGCGGCCGUAACUAUAACGGUCCUAAGGUAGCGAAAUUCCUUGUCGGGUAAGUUCCGACCUGCACGAAUGGCGUAAUGAUGGCCAGGCUGUCUCCACCCGAGACUCAGUGAAAUUGAACUCGCUGUGAAGAUGCAGUGUACCCGCGGCAAGACGGAAAGACCCCGUGAACCUUUACUAUAGCUUGACACUGAACAUUGAGCCUUGAUGUGUAGGAUAGGUGGGAGGCUUUGAAGUGUGGACGCCAGUCUGCAUGGAGCCGACCUUGAAAUACCACCCUUUAAUGUUUGAUGUUCUAACGUGGACCCGUGAUCCGGGUUGCGGACAGUGUCUGGUGGGUAGUUUGACUGGGGCGGUCUCCUCCUAAAGAGUAACGGAGGAGCACGAAGGUUGGCUAAUCCUGGUCGGACAUCAGGAGGUUAGUGCAAUGGCAUAAGCCAGCUUGACUGCGAGCGUGACGGCGCGAGCAGGUGCGAAAGCAGGUCAUAGUGAUCCGGUGGUUCUGAAUGGAAGGGCCAUCGCUCAACGGAUAAAAGGUACUCCGGGGAUAACAGGCUGAUACCGCCCAAGAGUUCAUAUCGACGGCGGUGUUUGGCACCUCGAUGUCGGCUCAUCACAUCCUGGGGCUGAAGUAGGUCCCAAGGGUAUGGCUGUUCGCCAUUUAAAGUGGUACGCGAGCUGGGUUUAGAACGUCGUGAGACAGUUCGGUCCCUAUCUGCCGUGGGCGCUGGAGAACUGAGGGGGGCUGCUCCUAGUACGAGAGGACCGGAGUGGACGCAUCACUGGUGUUCGGGUUGUCAUGCCAAUGGCACUGCCCGGUAGCUAAAUGCGGAAGAGAUAAGUGCUGAAAGCAUCUAAGCACGAAACUUGCCCCGAG